GUAGGGGGCAAGCGUUGUCCGGAUUUAUUGGGCGUAAAGAGCGCGUAGGCGGCUUGCCAAGUCGUGCGUGAAAUACCUCGGCUCAACCGAGGGGGGUCGUGCGAUACUGGUAGGCUCGAGGCCGGUAGGGGGAAGCGGAAUUCCCGGUGUAGUGGUGGAAUGCGUAGAUAUCGGGAGGAACACCAGUGGCGAAGGCGGCUUCCUGGACCGGUCCUGACGCUGAGGCGCGAAAGCGUGGGGAGCGAACUGAAUUAGAUACUCAGGUAGUCCACGCUGUAAACGAUGGGUGCUAGGUGUCGGGGGUAUCGACCCCUCCGGUGCCGCAGCUAACGCAUUAAGCACCCCGCCUGGGGAGUACGGCCGCAAGGCUA
Molecule: ribosomal RNA, 371 nt
Filed under: uncultured bacterium
Lineage: Bacteria
Description: bacterial SSU rRNA
Rfam family: Bacterial small subunit ribosomal RNA
Source: RNAcentral